This 1164-nucleotide ribosomal RNA is filed under the name Phoroncidia americana. RNAcentral describes it as "bacterial SSU rRNA". It matches the Rfam family "Eukaryotic small subunit ribosomal RNA", at positions 622 to 1804 of the family's 1831-position model. The record is from RNAcentral. Lineage: Eukaryota; Metazoa; Arthropoda; Arachnida; Araneae; Theridiidae.
AAAAGCUCGUAGUUGGAUCUCAGCUCAUGUCGGAUGUGUCCGCCAAUCGGUGGUUACCGUCCGGACUGUGCAAUAUAGCCGGUUUCUCUUGAUGAUCUUCACCGGUUGUCUUGAGUGACCGGCAAGUUUACUUUGAAAAAAUUAGAGUGCUCAAAGCAUGCGUGACGCAGGAAUAAUGGUGCAUGGAAUAAUGGAAUAGGACCUCGAUUCUAUUUUGUUGGUUUUCGGAACACGAGGUAAUGAUUAAGAGGGACAGACGGGGGCAUUCGUAUUGCGACGCUAGAGGUGAAAUUCUUGGACCGUCGCAAGACGAACUACUGCGAAAGCAUUUGCCAAGAAUGUUUCCAUUAAUCAAGAACGAAAGUUAGAGGUUCGAAGGCGAUCAGAUACCGCCCUAGUUCUAACCAUAAACGAUGCCAGCCAGCGAUCCGGCUGUGUUCCUCAAAUGACACGCCGGGCAGCUUCCGGGAAACCAAAGCUUUUGGGUUCCGGGGGAAGUAUGGUUGCAAAGCUGAAACUUAAAGGAAUUGACGGAAGGGCACCACAAGGAAUGGAGCUUGCGGCUUAAUUUGACUCAACACGGGAAAGCCUACCCGGCCCGGACACAGGAAGGAUUGACAGAUUAAGAGCUCUUUCUUGAUUCUGUGGGAGGUGGUGCAUGGCCAUUCUUAGUUGGUGGAGCGAUUUGUCUGGUUAAUUCCGAUAACGAUCGAGACUCUAGCCUACUAAAUAGACGAUCCGAUCGCUUCGUCGUCGGACGUUCUUCUUAGAGGGACACGCGGCGUUUAGCCGCACGAGACAGGGCAAUAGUAGGUCUGUGAUGCCCUUAGAUGUCCGGGGCCGCACGCGUGCUACAUUGAAGGAAUCAGCGUGUGCUUUCCUAGUCCGAAAGGAUUGGGUAACCCGUUGAAACUCCUUCGUGCUGGGGAUAGAAAGUUGUAAUUGUCUUUCUUGAACGAGGAAUUCCUAGUAAGCGUGAGUCAUUAACUCAUGUUGAUUAGGUCCCUGCCCUUUGUGCACACCGCCCGUCGCUACUACUGAUUGAAUGUUUUAGUGAGGUCUUCGGACUGGCGCUCGGCAUUGGCCUUCGGGUCGAGUUGAUGUUGCCGGAAAGAUGACCGAAUUCGAAUAUUUAGAAGAAGUAAAAGUCGUAACAAGGUUUCC